CCUACGGGUGGCAGCAGUGGGGAAUAUUGGUCAAUGGACGCAAGUCUGAACCAGCCAUGCCGCGUGCAUGAAGACGGCUCUAUGAGUUGUAAACAGCUUUUGUACGGAGGUAAACGCAGAUACGCGUAUCUGUCUGAAAGUAUCGUACGAAUAAAGAUCGGCUAACUCCGUGCCAGCAGCCGCGGUAAUACGGAGGAUGAAAGCGUUAUUCGGAUUUAUUGGGGUUAACGGGUGCGUAGGCGGUCGGGUAAGUUAGAGGUGAAAUCCCGAGGCUCAACUUCGGAAUUGCCUCUGAUACUGUUCGGCUAGAGAGUAGUGGCGGUAGGCGGAAUGUCUGGUGUAGCGGUGAAAUGCGUAGAGAUCAUACAGAACACCGAUUGCGAAGGCAG
Molecule: ribosomal RNA, 389 nt
Filed under: uncultured bacterium
Lineage: Bacteria
Description: partial 16S ribosomal RNA
Rfam family: Bacterial small subunit ribosomal RNA
Source: RNAcentral